GAUGAACGCUGGCGGCAUGCUUAACACAUGCGAGUCGAACGGGAAGUGGUGUUUCCAGUGGCGAACGGGUGAGUAACGCGUAAGAACCUGCCCUUGGGAGGGGAACAACAACUGGAAACGGUUGCUAAUACCCCGUAGGCUGAGGAGCAAAAGGAGAAAUCCGCCCAAGGAGGGGCUCGCGUCUGAUUAGCUAGUUGGUGAGGUAAUAGCUUACCAAGGCGAUGAUCAGUAGCUGGUCCGAGAGGAUGAUCAGCCACACUGGGACUGAGACACGGCCCAGACUCCUACGGGAGGCAGCAGUGGGGAAUUUUCCGCAAUGGGCGAAAGCCUGACGGAGCAAUGCCGCGUGGAGGUGGAAGGCCUACGGGUCGUCAACUUCUUUUCUCGGAGAAGAAACAAUGACGGUAUCUGAGGAAUAAGCAUCGGCUAACUCUGUG
Molecule: ribosomal RNA, 437 nt
Filed under: uncultured bacterium
Lineage: Bacteria
Description: partial 16S ribosomal RNA
Rfam family: Bacterial small subunit ribosomal RNA
Source: RNAcentral